Vitis vinifera (wine grape) is the source of this 3181-nucleotide RNA transcript. RefSeq lists it as uncharacterized. The record is from RefSeq and is a predicted model, not a curated record. The transcript is spliced from 7 exons. NCBI's taxonomy places the organism in Eukaryota, Viridiplantae, Streptophyta, Magnoliopsida, Vitales, Vitaceae.
GUUAGAAGGAAAAAGAUAAGGAAGAAAAAAAGGAGCGAGGACAGAACACGGGAGUCGCGGAGGGCAAAAUGUAACACGCCUUCGGUCGGCCUAUUGAUCCGCCAAAUGACCUCUAUUUUGCUUAAAAUUUUAGUAGAAUAUUCUAUUCAACGCGGAUAACACUUUUACGGAGCUCGAUUUUAGUUUCAACGGUUAGAUUUUUGAAUAUGAGGUGAACUUAACCCAUCAAAUGGCACGUGUGAUGGGCAAAGAAGAGCUAAGAAUAGAUAUCAGCUCGCUAGCACAAGAUGGACAUGAAAUUGAGACUGGGACUUCACCUGAACAGAUGUCACCUGUAGAUCUAAUUUCUGGAGAUAGAGACCUCUACCUCGCUGUAUGCAUACCUCUUUAUCGUGCCGCCAUGAAAGGUGACUGGAAAACUGCUAAAGGUAUUUUUGAAAUGUUUCCAGCAGCAGUGCGCUUCACCAUCACACCAGGAGGGGACACAACCCUUCAUAUUGCUGCUGCAGCAAAGCAUGUCUACUUUGUUGAGGAGAUGGUGAAAAUUAUGGAACCAGAAGACUUAGAACUUAAGAACCAAUAUUCGAAUACUGCUUUUUGGUUUGCUGCUGCAGCAGGAAUAGUGGGAAUUGCAAAGGCUAUGGUGAAAAAGAAUGAAAUCCUUCCAAUGAUCCGAGCUUAUGAUGAAAUGACACCACUCCAUGUGGCUGCUCUAUUAGGACAUAGUGAGAUGGUGUGGUAUCUCUACAACAAGACUGAUCAUGAACAAUUAACUGUUAGCGAUUGGGUUAAGCUGCUUAAUGCAUGCAUCAGUACUGAUCUGUAUGAUGUAGCCUUGGACGUAUCGAGCCAUCACCCAACAUUGGCUGUAGAAAGAGAUGGGAAUGGUGAAACUGCAUUGCAUCUCCUGGCUCGGAAGCCUUCUGCAUUCUCGGGGGGAGAUCAGCUUCAUAUAUGGAACACUGUCAUUAAUUCAAUAUCAUGUAAAAGAGUGGAAGACAAGAAAAUUUUGAGGCAAAACAAAUCUCUUAAACUAGUCAAACACCUUUGGCAGCAGGUUAUAGUACAACCGCACUCCGAGAUUUUAGAUCUGAUCAGAUCUCCUUCUCCACUGCUCCUUGUUGCAGCAGAAUUAGGAAACACUGUGUUCUUAACAGAGCUUAUUGCCAUAUAUCCUGAUCUCAUAUGGGAAGUAGACGAUCACAAUAGGUCUAUAUUUCAUAUUGCAGUUUUACAUCGCCAGGAGAAUAUCUUCAAUCUUAUAUAUGAGAUAGGUUCAAUGAAGGAUUUGAUUGUGCCAAAUAAAGAUGAGAAUGAUAACAACAUCUUGCAUUUGGCUGGAAGAUUGGCACCCCCACGUCAACGCAAUAUUGUCGUAGGUGCAGCUCUUCAAAUGCAACGAGAGCUAUUAUGGUUUAGGGAGGUGGAAAAGAUGGUGCUACCUUCAUUCAGAGAAAGGAAAAACAGAGAUGGUGAAACACCCUGGGAUUUGUUCACUAAGGAGCACAAAGAUUUAAUGAAGGAGGGGGAGAAGUGGAUGAGAGGAACUGCUGCUCAAUCUAUGCUUGUUGCAACCCUCAUAGCCACUGUUGUGUUUGCUGCAGCCCUCACUGUACCAGGCGGUAGCAAUCAAGAUACUGGCAUUCCUGUUUUGUUGAGAAAGAAAUCCUUCAUAUUUUUGCAGUAUCGGAUGCAAUAGCGUUAUUCACCUCUUUGACUUCAAUACUAGUGUUCUUAUCUAUUGUCCUAACUUCACGCUAUGCAGACGACGAUUUUCUCGAGUUAUUACCUUCCAGGUAGGAUACAAACAACAGAUGAAAUGUGAGUAGCAACAAUCAGGUAAUGAAAAUCUCAUUUUGAACAAUAUAGGAACCCAACAUCCAACAAAAUAGCAUGAACAAGAGACUGCUAUGCCUUUCAUGAUACAAGGAACUUUUGCCUCCAUAAAUUAGUAAUUACUUGAUACGGAGUAAAAUUUAAGGGUACAACAAACACCACCGCCUCAUAAUUCAAGAACUAAACCAUCAAGAAGGCUAUGUUGAAAUCUAAUCACCACAUCGAAAUAGGUAUUUCUCUGGUCUCAACAAGUGGCACAAGGAAAUUUUUGUAUCUAGUGAAUACCUUUGCCUACAUCUAGUACAAGGUUUUGUUUUUUUCUUGUAAACAUAUAUAUACAUCCAAACAUGUACACACACGUGUAUGCACUUUGAAGUUCCCAAGAAAUUAUAAGUAGAUUUUGUAGGUACAUGGUUGUGACCAAUUCUUGUCCUACCUUGUAGUUCUAGGUUAGCCCAAGGGUGCACCUUUUCCAAAUUUUCUCUUUAUGAUAUUGCUUUAUCCCUCUAGGGAUAUAUUGUUAAUGGCCACAACCUCAACAAUCUUUUUCAUGUUUUCAUGCAUGGAUCAGUUUAAAAAGGAAAAACAUCAGAGUUUGAACUUCCAUUAUUUUACUAUAGGUACAAGGUUUACAUUUUUUGGUAUUCAUGCCCCAGUUUAGUGAUUUUCAUACAGACAUGUGCAUAUGGUGUUUUCUUACAUGCUUAUUGAUGAAAUCCUCCCUUCCCAAGUCCACAAUUCAUCCUAAGUUUAUCAAAAAGACAUCAAGGCAUCAUAGAAAAUCAACAGUUCUAAUAUUGUAACAUCUCCAACAUUUGUAGAAAAAAACAAGAUUCCAUAUUUGAUCUUUAGAUUAUAAAUUAAGGUUCAAAACUCAAAAGCACAUUCAUAUAGACACAAACCUCACUAGCUAUCAGCUUUCGGACAUUAUUAACAUAUAAUUUUCCCAUACAUUACAAAUGAGCUUAAUUUGAGAGUUAUACCUUGGCAAUGAGAGAACCUACUUUGGGCAAUAAUUCAAAUUGUGACAGAAUUUUUUUGGUCUCCAUCUCAUCCUUGUAGCAACAUGCAGCUUACUUAUGUCAUUCCACUUGUGUGGAGCUACCAUUAUCUUACCAAUAACAUGCAAAGUAGACAGUAAGACUGAUCAAGAAAUCAAAAUUCCUUAUGUUUUGAAUCUUACACUGCAAGGAGAGUGGAACUAUGACUGUCCAAGUGUGGUUGCUUGUCGAGAGUUGAAAAUUUGGAUGAUUAUUUGGAGGUUCUAUUCAAAUUCUUGGGCAGAAUCAUUAGAGAAUGAAAAAUGAUCAAGAAAUUUGGGCAACAAUAGAGCAAGUAAGAAAAA